RNAcentral lists this ribosomal RNA (468 nucleotides) under uncultured bacterium. Its description in RNAcentral is "partial 16S ribosomal RNA". It matches the Rfam family "Bacterial small subunit ribosomal RNA", at positions 28 to 507 of the family's 1533-position model. The record is from RNAcentral.
GACGAACGCUGGCGGCGUGCUUAACACAUGCAAGUCGAACGGAAAGGCCCUGCUUUUGUGGGGUGCUCGAGUGGCGAACGGGUGAGUAACACGUGAGUAACCUGCCCUUGACUUUGGGAUAACUUCAGGAAACUGGGGCUAAUACCGGAUAGGAGCUCCUGCUGCAUGGUGGGGGUUGGAAAGUUUCGGCGGUUGGGGAUGGACUCGCGGCUUAUCAGCUUGUUGGUGGGGUAGGGGCUUACCAAGGCUUUGACGGGUAGCCGGCCUGAGAGGGUGACCGGCCACAUGGGGACUGAGAGACGGACCAGACGCGUACGGGAGGCAGUAGUGGGGAAUAUUGCACAAUGAGCGGAAGCCUGAGGCAGAAACGUCGCGUGCGGGAUGACGGCCUUCGGGUUGUAAACCGCUGUCGCCUGUGACGAAGCGUGAGUGACGGUAAUGGGUAAAGAAGCACCGGCUAACUACGUG